AACCAGCCUGUAACUCCUGGGGAGAAGGGGGCGGAGAGGGGGAAAAUGCGGGAGAGAGGGAGAGAGCGAGGCAACCGGGCUCAAAACAGUCAAAUUCAAAUUAAAAGGUCGAGACACGUAUCAGGAAACGGAAUCUGCAGAACAACUUGUCUUUCCGGUCGCCCCACAUUUUUCCCUGGACAGAUCCUGGGGUUCAGACUUUCCGAAGCGCUGGAGGCUGGCGGGGAAAGCACUGGAGCCCAGCGCCCUGGCAUGGAGGAGUGAGGAGGCUAGACAGCUUCCAGGGAGGCCCAAGCCCGCUGCUGCUAAAAGACUGUGGAAAGAAAUCCGCGGAAUCCCCCCAAUCAGGGGUGGAGAGAGAAGACGCAGGGGUUCCUGAACCUCGGGAAAACAGGAAGGAAAUGUAGAGUGUGUGAUUUGCUUGCAGGACCGGCCAGCGGAGAUUUGAAAUGGUUUUGUAUUUUCAUUUGCAGGGUCACCGUGGCCUCAGCAUGGGGGUUAUCCAGGGCAAGGUUAGGCUGUUUAGGCCCCAGACGAGACUUGGGACAGUCCGGGCAGCAGUCAAUCCAGGGAGCCAUUUGUCCCACCGCCCAUCCCGCGGGAAACGGGCGAGACUUUAUGGCCACUCUGUUUGUAUUAUCUGCAUAAGUCUUUCCCCACCAGUUUGAUCGAAACCGUUCCCUUUUACGAGGACCCAACGAAAAUUUCCCGUCAUAUUUAUCAGCCAGGGAUAAAAAUUUAGUAUGGGAACUGAUAUUUCCUCAUUUAUGGGACGAUGAAAUUAAAUACCAAAGCAAUUGAGAAUUA
Long non-coding RNA from Sapajus apella (tufted capuchin), 807 nucleotides. RefSeq lists it as uncharacterized. The transcript is spliced from 2 exons. NCBI's taxonomy places the organism in Eukaryota, Metazoa, Chordata, Mammalia, Primates, Cebidae. The record is from RefSeq and is a predicted model, not a curated record.